RNAcentral lists this ribosomal RNA (269 nucleotides) under uncultured Planctomycetota bacterium. RNAcentral describes it as "uncultured planctomycete partial 16S ribosomal RNA". It matches the Rfam family "Bacterial small subunit ribosomal RNA", at positions 565 to 832 of the family's 1533-position model. Lineage: Bacteria; Pseudomonadati; Planctomycetota. The record is from RNAcentral.
GAGCACGUAGGUGGGUUUGUAAGUCAGAUGUGAAAGCCUUCUGUUCAACGGAAGAAUUGCAUCUGAAACUGCGAGUCUUGAGUGUAGGAGGGGAGAAUGGAACUUCUGGUGGAGCGGUGAAAUGCGUAGAUAUCAGAAGGAACGCCGGCGGCGAAAGCGAUUCUCUGGCCUAUUACUGACACUCAGUGUGCGAAAGCUAGGGGAGCAAACGGGAUUAGAUACCCCGGUAGUCCUAGCUGUAAACGAUGGGCACUAAGUAGAGGGGUUUU